GCCCGCUUGGCCCAGGGGUAAGGCGUCGUAUGUCAACGUGACCCUAUGUCUACCGCAACACAGUAUCUAACAGACAACCAGUCACUCGUACCGAUUUACCGGAUGCAAUGAGAAGAUCCUGUGUUCGAAUCACAGAGUGGGCA
This is a non-coding RNA of Cladophialophora carrionii CBS 160.54, 143 nucleotides long. The record is from the annotation of a RefSeq genome assembly. Lineage: Eukaryota; Fungi; Ascomycota; Eurotiomycetes; Chaetothyriales; Herpotrichiellaceae.